AUUGAACGCUGGCGGCAGGCCUAACACAAGCAAGUCGGACGGUAGCACAGAGGAGCUUGCUCCUUGGGUGACGAGUGGCGGACGGGUGAGUAAUGUCUGGGGAUCUGCCCGAUAGAGGGGGAUAACCACUGGAAACGGUGGCUAAUACCGCAUAACGUCGCAAGACCAAAGAGGGGGACCUUCGGGCCUCUCACUAUCGGAUGAACCCAGAUGGGAUUAGCUAGUAGGCGGGGUAAUGGCCCACCUAGGCGACGAUCCCUAGCUGGCCUGAGAGGAGUACCAGCCGCACUGGAACUGGAACACGGUCCAGACUCCUACGGGAGGCAGCAGUGGGGAAUAUUGCACAAUGGGCGCAAGCCUGAUGCAGCCAUGCCGGGUGUAUGAAGAAGGCCUUCGGGUUGUAAAGUACUUUCAGCGGGGAGGAAGGCGGUGAGGUUAAUAACCUUGCCGAUUGACGUUACCCGCAGAAGAAGCACCGGCUAACUCCGUGCCAGCCGCCGCAGUAA
RNAcentral lists this ribosomal RNA (506 nucleotides) under uncultured bacterium. Its description in RNAcentral is "partial 16S ribosomal RNA". It matches the Rfam family "Bacterial small subunit ribosomal RNA", at positions 29 to 523 of the family's 1533-position model. The record is from RNAcentral.